AAUGAUGAUGACGACGAUGAUGAUGACUUUGACUACGAUGAUGUAAAAGAUACUUUCUUCGAAGCAAAGUUUCUAAAUGAUGAUGACGACGAUGAUGAUGACUUUGACUACGAUGAGGAAGAAGUCCUUUCUUCAAAGAAAAGUUUCUAAAUGAUGAUGACGAUGGCGAUGAUGACUUUGACUACGAUGAGGAAAAAGAUGCUUUCUUCAAAGAAAAGUUUCUAAAUGGUGAUGACGACGAGAAUGAUGACUUUGACGACGAUGAGGAAGAAGAUACUUUCUUUAAAGCAAAGUUUCUAAAUGAUGAUGACGACGAUGAUGAUGACUUUGACGACGAUGAGGAAGAUCCUUUCUUCAAAGAAAAGUUUCUAAAUGAUGAAUAUGACAUUCGAGAUGAUGUGCACGCAAAACUCAUAAGUUUACCGUGGAUGCGAGGAGAGUAUGGAACAAUUGGUCCUAACGAGAUAAUACCGUAUGUUCACGUUUUUGUCACAGUUGACUAUGAAAAAGGAGGUUCUGAUGAAGUUGUUUUGAAGAAUUAAAUUGAUCAAAAAUUGGAAACUGGAACUUCGAAGUAUUUUGAAUUCCGUAAAAAAUCAUAUGAGAAACCGAAGCUUGAACUGUUAUCGGAUAUUGCUGUAAAAAGAAGUAAUGAGCUACCAAUAAGAGGUACAUUGACAAUGUUCUGUUACCAUAACGACAAGCAUUACGCGUUGACGUGUUUUCAUGUUGGUUACAACAAA
Molecule: long non-coding RNA, 743 nt
Organism: Xenia sp. Carnegie-2017
Lineage: Eukaryota; Metazoa; Cnidaria; Anthozoa; Malacalcyonacea; Xeniidae
Exons: 2
Source: RefSeq, a predicted model, not a curated record